This 548-nucleotide ribosomal RNA is filed under the name uncultured bacterium. RNAcentral describes it as "bacterial SSU rRNA". It matches the Rfam family "Bacterial small subunit ribosomal RNA", at positions 772 to 1319 of the family's 1533-position model. The record is from RNAcentral.
ACUAAAUAGAUACCCUGGUAGUCCACGCCCUAAACGAUGUCAACUAGGUGUUGGGGGGGAGACUUCCCUAGUACCGCAGCUAAACGCGUGAAAGUUGACCGCCUGGGGAGUACGGUCGCAAGAUUAAAACUCAAAGGAAUUGACGGGGACCCGCACAAGCGGUGGAUUAUGUGGAUUAAUUCGAUGCAACGCGAAAAACCUUACCUACCCUUGACAUGCCAGGAACUUGCCAGAGAUGGCUUGGUGCCCGAAAGGGAACCUGGACACAGGUGCUGCAUGGCUGUCGUCAGCUCGUGUCGUGAGAUGUUGGGUUAAGUCCCGCAACGAGCGCAACCCUUGUCAUUAAUUGCCAUCAUUCAGUUGGGCACUUUAAUGAGACUGCCGGCGACAAACCGGAGGAAGGUGGGGAUGACGUCAAGUCCCCAUGGCCCUUAUGGGUAGGGCUUCACACGUAAUACAAUGGUCGGUACAGAGGGUCGCCAACCCGCGAGGGGAGCCAAUCUCACAAAGCCGAUCGUAGUCCGGAUUGGAGUCUGCAACUCGACUCC